Molecule: unclassified non-coding RNA, 246 nt
Filed under: Phialea sp.
Lineage: Eukaryota; Fungi; Ascomycota; Pezizomycetes; Pezizales
Also listed under: 1 other name
Description: partial contains 5.8S ribosomal RNA, internal transcribed spacer 2, and large subunit ribosomal RNA
Source: RNAcentral
AACGCACAUUGCGCCCCUUGGUAUUCCGGGGGGCAUGCCUGUUCGAGCGUCAUUUCAACCCUCCAGCUCUGCUGGGUCUUGGGCCACGCGGGUUCACGCCCGCCGGUCUUAAAAUCAGUGGCGGUGCCAUCGAGCUCUACGCGUAGUAAUUUUUUCUCGCGUCUGCAGCCUUGGUGUGUGCUUGCCAGCAACCCCCAAUUUUCUAUGGUUGACCUCGGAUCAGGUAGGGAUACCCGCUGAACUUAA